RNAcentral lists this long non-coding RNA (5787 nucleotides) under Homo sapiens (human). RNAcentral's name for it is "HSALNT0280337". Lineage: Eukaryota; Metazoa; Chordata; Mammalia; Primates; Hominidae. The record is from RNAcentral.
CUCCUGUAGCCCCCCACCCCCUGACAGGCCCCGGUGUGUGAUGUUCCCCUCUUUCUGCCCAUGUGUUCUCAUUGUUCAACUCCCACUUAUGAGUGAGAACAUGUGGUGUUUGGUUUUAUGUUCCUGUGUUAGUUUGCUGAGAAUGAUGGUUUCCAGAUUCAUCCAUGUCCCUGCAAAGGACAUGAACUCAUUCUUUUUUAUGGCUGCGUAGUAUUCCAUGGUGCAUAUGUGCCACAUUUUCUUUAUCCAGUCUAUCAUUGAUGGGCAUUUGGGUUGGUUCCAAGUCUUUGCUAUUGUGAAUAUUGCUGCAAUAAACAUACGUGUGCAUGUGUCUUUAUAGUAGAAUGAUUUAUAAUCCUUUGGGUAUACACCCAGCAAUGGGAUGGCUGGGUCAAAUGGUAUUUCUGGUUCUAGAUCCUUGAGGAAUAAUCAAAACCACAAUUAGAUACCAUCUCACGCCAGUUAAAUUAGUCCUCUUUAUAUUUUAAGAAAACAUUUGUUUUGCCCUGUGAGUGUUGUUGGAUUGCACAUAUUCAGAUUAUCAUGAGAUAUUCCCAUCUGCUGUAGUAAACGUGGAAAUUUUGAAGGUGUCUGACAAUAGUUUUGGUCCUGGAGUACUAAAAGUAUCCAGAUAGAGUUCAUGUUUUCCAUAGUGAUAAAUGCAACCAAAGCUAUUAGCAAGUUGUACUGCUAGAACAUGUUACGUGUUUUUUACACAUAUGUCAUAAUAUGUUUUUCAGAUUCCUGGAAGAAAUCCCAAUGAACAGGGGUCAUUAUCAGGCCACAUUUCUGGUAUCUGUGGUAAGUAAUGAUGUUCACUUUAACCCCAUCACAGACCAUUUGAUCUUCAUAUAUCUAGGUAAGUGAUGUCUGUUUACGUGAACUGUUUAUCAUGUGCUUUUAUAACAGUGAUUUUUGUAAGUAAUGACAGUAUUUCUAGUUCUAGUGACCAUGUUAUAUUGUUUUUAAUUUAGAGAAAACUUAUGGUUUACGCUGUGAGUAUCAAAUGAUUUGCGUGUACACAGAUAACAACGUGGUGUGCUUCAUAGUAGUAACUGUGGUAUCCUUGCAGAUAGGUAGUCAAGAAAAAAUGGUGUGUCCUUCAAGGUUGUAGACCUUGGGAAUACUGCAAAAUUCCAUGUAGAUUUAUGUCUUCUGCAAUGAUGACAGCCAACAAGUUAUUUGCAGGGUUCUGGUGGAAGAGUUGUGUCCACAGACACAUUUGUCAUAAUGUGGUUUCAGGUUCCUCUCAAGGGGUCAUGGGAAACCUCAUCAUGAUCAACAAUGGGACAUUGCUGGUAUCCAAGCCAAUUAUGAUGUGGGCCUUAAACACCCUACAAAAAUGUGAUCUACAGAAAUGUAGGUAACUGUAGAUGGUUUUCCUAAUUUUUGUGUUGCCAUAUUUUGUGCAGGUAUUUAGUUAAGGAAUUAUAUUUUCCCAACCAACGCAGGUAAGCAUCAGUCAUUAUUUUAGAGUUUAGUUAUAAUGUGUUUAGUCUUAUAGUGAGGGAGGGAUAUGCAGGUAUCCAGGUAAGUUUUCCUACUGUUUCCCACCACGUUAUUGACCAUGAGACUUCAACAUCAUCAAGAGAUGAUGGUGCCACUACAUUGUUGACAUUGAAGUCAUGGCAAAUCCAAGUAGUGUUGAAGGUUCCCUGCUGAUGGAAGUGCCCAGAAUUAUUUGUGUCUUGUCUUUUUUUAUGUAAAACAAAUUGUUUCCUUAAACACACUUGAGCAAUGUGUUUUUUAGUUUUCUGUAAUGAGCUCACAAUCAAGCUUAACAAUAGUCAUUAAUGGAACCGUGCUGUAACCUGCUAAUUGAGAAAGUGUGUUUCCCACAAUCAGACCAUUAGAUCUUUAUAUUUCCAUGUAAGUGAGGAUGGUGUCCUUAACACUUGUCUACCAUGUAUUCCUGCAGGUAUCCUGUUAAGUUCUUUCCUAGUAUACAGGUAGAAGAUUAUGUGAUAUUAACACAUUAGCAACCUUCCUAUUUUCAGAUAUGUAGGUGAUUAAUGAUUUUUUUGAGACUCUUCUUGUAACCUUGUGUUUGUCAUGCAUGCAGUUAAGAAAUUACUUUUUCCCUAACAUUACUAGUAAGAGUGAGAUUUUACUGUGUUCUUGUUUAGACAUAAUGUGUAUUUAUCAAUUGUAGUGAUAUAUGGAUAUGCGAGUAUCCAGGUAAUUUAUCAUAUUGUCCAUCACUGUAAUGCUGAGAUUUUUGUAGGUAUCACUUCAAGAGAGGAAAGUUUCUCUUACGAGUGUUUUCCCUUGGCAUUAUGCAAGCAUCCAGUUACCUUUGAUAGGCCCUGAAAUGAUGAAAGAGACGAAGGGAAUUUGCAGGUGUACAGGUAGAAUGAGACAUUUAGGAAACACAUUUUCAACAGUAUAUUUUUUAGGUUCAUUUGAAGAGGUCACAGUGAGCCUAUCAGUAAUAGUUAACAGGGGUCAUUGCUCGUAUGGAUGUGCAUGAUAAUGUGGGCCUAAAACACAGCCCAGCCCAUCUGAUCUUCCCUUAUAUAGGUAAGUGGUGGUGUCCCUAACACUUCUGUUACUAUGAUUUUGUUGUAGCUGUUCAAGUAAGAAAUGAUAGAGCUCUUACCAAUUUAAAAAAACAUUAUUUUUCUCACUUUUUAUAUUUUAGAAUAACUUUAUGAUUAACCUCUGAGUUUUGAGUGAUAGUGCCUAUCCUGGUUAUUGGUGUUUCUUACCACAGCAGUAACCAGGGGAUUUUUACAGGUGUCCUGUCAAGAAAUGACCGUCUUACCUGACAGUGGUAUUGAUCUUGCAUUAUUACAAGUAUCCAGGUAGAGUUUAUGUGUUCUGUAAUGAUGGAGUGACGAAGGUUAUUUUCAGAUGUCUUGGUGGAAAUGUUUGUGUCCUUUAACACAUAUUUCACAAUGUGUAUUUCAGGUUUCUGUAGUGAGACCCUGAUAAACCUAACAAUGGUUGGUAUGGCAGACAUUUCUGGUAUGCAGGCAAGUGAUGAUGUGUUCUUUAACCACAUCAUAGACCAUCAGAUCUUCUUAUAUCUUUUUUUUUUUUUUUUUUGACAGAGUCUCGCUUUGUCACCCAGGCUGGAGUGCAGUGGGGUGAUCUCGGCUCACUGCAGCCUCCACCUCCCAGGUUCAAGCGAUUCUCGUGCCUCUGCAUCCUGAAUAGCUGGGAUUACAGGUGUGCACCACCACAUCCUGCUGAUUUUUGUAUUUUGAGAGAUGGGGUUUUGGCACGUUGGCCAAGCUGGUCUCGAACUCCUGGCUUCAAGCAGUCCACCCACCUUGGCCUCCCAAAGUGCUGGAAUUACAGGCGUGCACCACCACGCCCGGCCAGAUCUUCAUAUAUCUAAGUAAGUGUUAUACAUUUACCUAAACUUUUUUACUGUGUGAUUUUUUUCCAUAGGUACUCAAGUAAGAAAUGAUAGUCUUUACUAACUACAGCAACCAUGUUAUCCUGCUGUUUUAUAUUUUAGAGAAAAUUUAUGUUUAACUUUGUGAUUGGCGAGCUAUUUGCUAUCCAAGGAAUUAACCAUGGAGUUGCAUGUCAUAGUAGCAAUUGUGGGUUUGUUUGCAGGUAAGUAGUAGAGAGAAAAUGGUAUCUGUAACAGUGCUAUAGACCUUGCAGUACUGCAAGAUUCCAGGUAUACUUGAUGGUUCUUGGAAUGAUGGUAGUGAAUAAGCUUAAUUGUGGGGUUCAAGGAAAAAAGCUGUGUCUACACACAUUUGUCAUAAUGUGUUUUUAGGAUCCUGUCAAGAAGACAUGGUAAACCUCAUCAUGAUCAAGAAUGAGACUUUGCUUGCAUCCAGGUAAGUAAUGACGUGGGCCUUAAGCAAGCACUCAGAAAACAAUCUGAUCAUCAGAUCUAUAAUUAAGUGUGGAUGGUGCUUCUAACUUUUGUGUUACCAUGGUUUUUUUGCAGGCAUUCAGUUAAGAAAUGAUGUUUUCCCAACCAAGGCUAGUAAGCAUUAGCCCUUAUUAUUUUACAGUUUAGAUAUAAUGUGUAGUAUCUAACCAAGCUGGGCAUAGUUGCAUGUGCCUAUAGUAUGAGCUACUCUGGAGGCUGAGGCGGGAGGAUCACUUGAGCCCAGGAGGUUGAGGCUGAAGUGAGCUGUGAUCACACCACUGCACUCCAACUUGGGUAACAGGACAAAACCCUGUCUCUUAAAAAAAUAAAAGAGAUAUAAUGUGUGUUUAACAUUAGUCUCUAAGGAGGGCUAUGCCGGUAUCCAGGUGAGUUAUCCUACUCUUCCACAUUAUAGUAUGAACAAUGAGAUUUCUAAGUCAAGCGAUGAUGGUAUCUCUAACAUUAGUGUUGAUCUCAAAGUUCUACUAAGAUCGAGGUAGUGUUGGUGGUUCCUCUAAUGAGGAAAAUGACUGAUACAAGUUGCAGGUGCCCCGUCCUUUUUUGCAGGUAAAACAGCGUGUUUCAUUAAACACAUUCAUCAUUGAAUGUGUUUCUUCAGGUACCCAUAGUCAUGAAAUCAUAGUGAACCUAACAGUGGUCAUUUAUGUGUUCUUGGUAGUAACCAGGUCAGUGAUAAAUUGGGUCUUACCACACUACAGACCACCUGUUCUUCAGAUUUUUAGGUAAGCAAGUAUGGUCCCUCUAACACAGUGUUACUGUGUUUGUCUUUUUCAGGCUUCCCAAAAGUUGUUUGAUAGUAUACAGGCAUGAGAUGGUGUGACUCUAACUCAUUAGAUGCCUUCGUCUUUUCAGUCAUCAUGUGAUGGAAAGAAAGCUAUCAACUUCAUUCCUGAGACUUCCUGCAACACAGAUCCAUCUAAACUUUUACUUCAUUGGAGGGUCCUUCCUGACCCAUGCAACUCAACAAAAAACUCUCACAGUUUUUAUAUGCUUUGUUGGGGAUUAACCCAUCUUGCAUUGCAUUGCUAGCUUAGUAUGUCUAGCAUGGGCAUGCCUGCUGAAGUUUGGAACUUCCCAUCAAGGAAACAGGAAAAUGCCAUUGGCAAUGAGCUGAAGACUGAUUUACUCUACCAGUUUGGAACAUCUGUUAUUGCUGCUACUACGGUUUCUAUCACUGUUUGAUGCUGGGACUCUUAAGCUCCAACCACGUUUUCACCGAGCUGAGUCGCCUUCUUAUCACCCCUUUCUGGAGCAGCAGGACAUCUGGGGAUGAGAAGAUGGAGAGAUCAUCCUUAUAUAAUGUUGCAGUCUGGAAGCAUCACUCUCAAAAAGCCAUUGUAGAGAAUCCAAGCCGAGUUUAAGAGUGCUGUGGAAAUACACUGCUGCUACUGCUGUUUCUAUUACUGUUUGAUGCUGGGACUCUUAUGCUCCAACCACGUUUUCACCCAGCUGAGUCGCCUUCGUAUCACGCCUUUCCAGUUUUGAUAGACUAGAAAAAUGACAAGACUCCAAGUCCUUGAAGAGGAGGAAAAGUGUGAAGAAAACAAAAAAGGGAGAUUUAUGUCUGCUUCACCAUUUUGCCCAAGACUUGACCUGUCAUACACUGAAGCUCAGAGAGGAAGAAAGGACCGUGUGAGAGAAGAAGGGAACAGCCUUUCAUCCAUAGGAGAAGUUCGUCUAUGACAAAGCCACUAGCUCCAUGUGGCCGCUGAGCACUCAAAAUGUGGCCAGUCUGAAUUGAGAUAUGUUGUUAGUAUAAAGUCCACAUCGGCUUUUUGAGCACUUUGUAUGAGAAAAAAGAAUACCAAAUAUCUCCUUAAUAAUUGUUACAUUGAUUAUAUGUUGAACUGAUAACAUUAUGGAUAUAUUGGAUUAAAUAAAAUAAAUUAUUAAAAUCAAAUAAAAAAUAAAAUCAAUUUCACCUGUUU